Molecule: long non-coding RNA, 2392 nt
Organism: Passer domesticus (house sparrow)
Lineage: Eukaryota; Metazoa; Chordata; Aves; Passeriformes; Passeridae
Exons: 3
Source: RefSeq, a predicted model, not a curated record
UUUGUUUUUUUUCCCAACACUUCCAGGAAUCCCUGGUUGCAUAGGUCCAGGUUGUCUCCCUAAGUCUUCCAGGAAUCCCUGAUCUCACAACCCCAGAUUUUCUCCUUGCAGGAAUCCUCGGUUAAAUGGGUCCACUUUUUUUUUUUUCUCUAAGGCUUGCAGGAAUCCCUGAUGCCAUGGCCCCACAUUUUCUCCCCAAGGCUUCCAGGAAUCCCUGGUUCCACCAAGUAUUUUUUGGUCAAUGAAGUAUUUGGAAAGCAAUGAGAUUUUUGCAUCACUCUCACACAAUUUGCCUUGUGGGGAUCUGGAACUAUUAGGGCUGUCAGGUGUGACUGAACUAUGACAAGUCAAGAUAAGUCUUGUAUUUGUUGGUCAUUUAGAAGUGUCAAGCCAACAUAUUGCCAUAUUUUUAUGCUGGAAAAUGAAAAAUAAAUAUUAUGUUCAGAGAGCUUUUCUCAUCUUGCCAAUAUUUUGCAAGGAAGACCUGUUUGUAGGACCCAACUUCUGCAGUUUUCAAGAAAUAGGAGGUUUCAGUAAUCACUGAUGUCAUUUUACAUUAAGAAAUCUUUAUCUUCUUCCCCUUCCCCUGUUGUUUGAUUCUUUACAAUGAAAUGCAACUUUUUUAUUUUCCCCUUCCACUAUGAAAGACCAAAGUCCAAACCUCUUAGUGACUUGGCAGGUACAUUCUAGUAUAACAUGAGCAAAAUGAAACGUAAUAAAGGAAAACAUAAAAGGUUUUGUUGAGGCGUGAUGGUCGGGAAAAAUUAUAUGCAAGAUCAGGAAGCACUGACCUCUUGAAUGAGCCUGCAAAUGAGUAGUUAAUUGCAGGUGGAAGUUUUAUGAGGAUUGGAAGUGUCAAAAUGAUAAAUCCAAAAGAAGUGAUCAAGUCUCAGAGCCCUGCUUUUACAAGAAGUGUGUGCUGUGAAAUCCAUAAAGAAAUCCAUACCUCCACUGAGUGCAGCUGGCUUGGAGCAGUGUUUGUGUUCACAAGCAGAAUGGCAGAACCUUACUCCAGCCAAAAUGUGGGUGCACCUCAGAUCCUGCUGUCCUGCCUAGGCUUUAGUCUGUUGUGUGUUGGUAUGGAAGAGAACCUGUGCCUUUGAAGCAUUCAGAAAUAAAAUUUAAAAAAUUACUCAGACCCUCAGUUUUUAAUUUAGAGAGCUAUUAAUAGAUACAUAGUACUUAUGUUGCAGAUUCCUUAAAUAAAAAGAAAUAAGUGAAGGUGACCUACAGUGUUUGAGGUUCCCUCAGACCUCCUUUUGUUCUGUUGAUAAUUUUUUUCCUUCCUUUUUUCCCCUCUUCUUCCUUCUCCUUGCUUUUUGUGCUUCCUGUGAACAACAAGGUUUAAAUCAGAGACUGUAUCAUCUUUGCUUGACUAGGCUUAGUCUGAAGCCUCUGCCAUCUUUUAAUUAGUUUGUUUUUUGGGUAUUUUUUGUGUUUUGGGGUGUUUUUGUUUUUUGUUUGUUUGGGUUUUUUUGGUUUUUUGCCUGUGGGAGGGGUGAUGGUGAGAGAACACAUGGAACCCCAGAACCAGGGAAAGUGUUUUGUGAUUAAUUGUGUCACAAGGAAAACAAGGCUUUUUCAGUUCUGAUUUUUCCUUCCUUUUGCCCUGGAGCUGCCUGUGCAGGGCAGGGGGUGCUGAGAGCUGAGCUGUGCUUGGGGAAACAGCUCUGCAGUGCCUCUCCUUUGAGGAGAUGCUUUGUUUUUCUUUUCCAUCUUCCCCAGUUCAGGUAGGCAGCAUGCAGCCUGGGAAGGAGCAGAGGGAAGAGGAAGCCUCCCUGAUUCACUGUGGCACUCUGCUCCUCCUUUGAUUUCAGGAUGUGCAGCACACUGGAUCCCCCCUUUGUCUUUCUGACACCUCUCCAAAGCCCUCUUUACUGUGAUAUCUGAACAGAGCAUGAUCUUCAGCGUUGCUGUCUUCCCAGUGCUCCUCUAAAGCCAGUACAAACACACUCUUCAGUUCUAGUAACCAUGGAUUCUCUUUGUGAGCAAUUAUUUUUAUCAGCAUUUGAUGGACGUGAGGCUCAUGAUGGGAAGAAAAUUGUGUUUCAACACCAGCACCUCUCCAGCUUCCAUAACCUUUAUAAUUUUCUGCCAGCUGCCAUUUGCUUUUCAAGGCCUGUGGAAAUAUGGAUUAAAAACAGUCCCUGCCUUGGAGAUGUGGCACUUCCCUCUGCAAGGACUCCACUUAGAGGGAAGAUGAAGUCCCCAGGUGCAGAAAAUAGGAGGAAGCUCUGCUUGGUCAUCUGUCAUGACUGGUGGAAGAAGAUGAGGGGAAAAGAGUCAUCAUAAAGGCAUUGUUCUUCAUGAAAAAAAACGGGAGACAGCAAGCUCCAAGUGCCACGUGUGACAUUCCCACAGACAGGAGCUGUUUUUCCAUGUCAUGUCCCUG